Molecule: long non-coding RNA, 222 nt
Organism: Sander lucioperca (pikeperch)
Lineage: Eukaryota; Metazoa; Chordata; Actinopteri; Perciformes; Percidae
Exons: 3
Source: RefSeq, a predicted model, not a curated record
UGAUUUGAAUUUCACUAUUCUGCAUAAGUUGCAGUGGUGUUACUUAAGUCUGUAGAUUUCUAAUCUGUAGAGUUAGAAGGUAAAAUAACUUACAAAGACUCCAGAGUGAAGCUGUGCAAUUCAUUGAAUUUUGAUAGAGAUUAUAAUUUUGGCUUAUUAAUUACAGAAACAAUUUAAUGGAGAGGAACGAUUGUUCUGCAUAUUACAUUAGCAAGCAGACUU